RNA transcript from Perognathus longimembris pacificus (Pacific pocket mouse), 888 nucleotides. It is a transcript of the gene named mitochondrial ribosomal protein L47, with no coding region annotated. The transcript has 7 exons. The record is from RefSeq and is a predicted model, not a curated record. Lineage: Eukaryota; Metazoa; Chordata; Mammalia; Rodentia; Heteromyidae.
ACGGGGGUCGGCCUUAUGGAAAAAAAAUGGCUGGAGGCGUCUUGGGUGUCUUUGGUAGAAGGCUCUCCGCGGUCCUGAAAAAGUCCGGGUCCUUAAUAACUUCCAAGGCCCCCGCUGGCACUGGUUGCAGGCUUUCUCUUAGUGUGCUGCUCAAGAGUGUAGUGAAUGUCACUUCUUUGCACCAGCCUAGAUUACUUCAUACCACAUUAUCAACAAGAGGACUUGAAGAAUUUUUUGAUGACCCAAAAAAUUGGGGAGAACAAAAAGUAAAAUCUGGCGCUGCAUGGACCUGUCAACAAUUAAGAAACAAAAGUAAUGAAGAUUUACAUAAACUUUGGUAUGUCCUACUGAAAGAAAGAAACAUGCUUCUAACUCUAGAGCAGGAGGCCAAGCGGCAGAUAUUGCCAAUGCCAAGUCCAGAACGGUUAGAAAAGGUAGUUGAGUCCAUGGAUGCAUUGGAUAAAGUUGUCCAGGAAAGAGAAGAUGCUUUAAGGCUUCUCCAGACUGGUCAAGAAAAAGCUAGACCUGGUGCUUGGAGAAGGGACAUCUUUGGAAGAAUCAUCUGGCACAAGUUCAAGCAGUGGCCUAUACCUUGGUACCUAAAUAAAAGAUACAAUAGGAAACGAUUCUUUGCAAUGCCUUAUGUGGACCGUUUCAUCAGGUGAGUCUAAAUACUCUUUAAAGAGAAACAUCUUUAUAUCAGAUGACAUAUUAAUAUAUUCACCUCAUCACAUACCGUAUAUAUCCUUUUAAAAGUUUUUUUAUGCUUCUAUUCAUCCACCUAUCUCUAUGUAUGUGAAUAGAAUUAAAAUAAUUCAGUUGCAUAAAAUGUGAGCUCAUUUAUUCCAAGGUUAAUGAAAAGGAGCUAAAGAGUGGAGGUCUGUUGCA